GCCUGCAUGAAGUUGGAAUCGCUAGUAAUCGCGGAUCAGCAUGCCGCGGUGAAUACGUUCCCGGGCCUUGUACACACCGCCCGUCACACCAUGGGAGCCGGUAAUACCCGAAGUCAGUAGCCUAACCGCAAGGAGGGCGCUGCCGAAGGUAGGAUUGGCGACUGGGGUGAAGUCGUAACAAGGUACC
This 187-nucleotide ribosomal RNA is filed under the name uncultured bacterium. RNAcentral's name for it is "partial 16S ribosomal RNA". It matches the Rfam family "Bacterial small subunit ribosomal RNA", at positions 1314 to 1500 of the family's 1533-position model. The record is from RNAcentral.